UAUAAUACUUUUUACUUUGCACUGAUGUUGUGUCUAGGAACAAUAUAGAACUGAAAUGAAAUGCAAAUCAAAUUUAAGCCUGUGACUCACUUUUGCAUGCAUAAUAUGUUGUAUACUUGCACUUGUACACUUAUGUCAUCCACAGUCUGCAGUCUCUCUUGUCAGCCCAGAGCAGAUAGCCAUCUUGCCGUUUAUGUCAGACCUCUCUCUAUGGUCUCUAUGGAGUGAAUGUUUUCUCUGUCUACCUCCACAUUGAAAGUCUGUUCAUUUUUUCUUUUCUUCUUCUUUUUUCUUCCUGGCAGCACCUAGAGAGCUCAGAGUAUCUCUCUUUUUCCUCUCCCAGAUGGUUGGAGAUAGCAGCUCUCCAGUUGCUGACAUAGAACGGUCCCUGUUCUUUGUUUCCACUGGUGACAAGCAGAGCGGAUGGUGGCUUUUUCAGUAGGUCCUCCAUCAGGUCUUAUCAGCUCUCCUCAGACUGCGGACUGUGACUCAUUCAGGAGGCCCUCGUCUGACACAUCUGAAGCCCAUCGAUGUGGCUGUGAAUGUUAACUUCUGCAGAUUCAACUCCUCUCCAUCUUCAACUUAUUGCUGCUACAGUCGUUCUGCUCAGAAAAGACUUGUACCCUUCACGAACCUGUGUGUGUGCAGGAAAAGGCCGACAUGCUGAAUUCUUCUGAAAUCUUUCUGUUCUGAACUGACAGAACAGAAUUAUAGCUCAAUGUGAUCCUAUGUGGUUAACAAAUUCAUAGUGUGAACGUCCAAUAUGCUGAGUUGACAGAAGGUUGUAGCUCAGUGAACUGUGUAGUGACAUAAAUCAGGUAAGAUUCUGCUCACCAAACAUGGUUUAACAACAACUGCUGUAAGUGUAACCUUUAAUCUUUAAUGUUUUUAAUACCCUAUUCUACUGUUUGAUAGAAAUCAUAUCUCAAAUUGACUGGAUUGAUAGGGAACAUUGCCUAAUAAUGCCAAUAGCCAAUCCCAGAAACAAAGCCAUAGACUGUAUUUAGUUUCUAGCCAUAGACUGUAUUUUUUAAAAAUGGACGUAGUGUCUGUGACAUCACCCAUAGGUUUCUGAAGAACCGUUGUGAAGCUCAAAGUGGGUGGCUCUGGCCGUCGCCAUCUUGGCAGUGCCUGACAGUUAAUUCAAAAAUGGGCAAAAAGGUGGAGCUGAGGCAAGCUGAAUGAAGCCUGGUUGAUGAAACCACCUGGCGGCAAGCCACCUGAUAGGGCACCCACCUAUAUAAGUUAUAAGUUAAUUGAAACAGUCCAACAUGAAGCCGGUGUAUAUUUGGUGCUGAUACUGUAUGCAUGGUCAAAAUGAGGGAUUCAAACAGAUGAAAGUGACCCAAGAUAUAAGCUACCUAACCGCAAACAUUUCUCUCACACUCUUUCACACAAAGGGUUUAUACUGACAAUAUUUAAUAUUUAAGUAUAUUUUUGUGUCCUUUAUUUCACAUUUAAUUUAUUUCACAUUUGUUAAAAACUGAUUUCCUGUUUGCCUUCCAUACACAUCGUAAUCAUUUUCCAUGCUCUGAAUCUACUACUUAGGAAUUUAAGCUUGAAGGAAUCUUUCAGCUCCACAGAAAUAUUGACUUGAUUUAUAUUGUGACAUAUCGUAUGGACUACUACGACAAACAGGUUUGUUGUAGAAGUUUUUCUCCAUAUUGCCCAGGCCUGCUUACUUACCAGUUUAUUUUCCCUUUCAUCUCUCAUUUGUAUAUUCGUUCUUCAUUCUUUUUCCCUCGUUCCCCUCUUUCCCUUUAUCUCUCUCUGGUUGGUGUGGUCCAUUGGUAUGCAGGGUGAUAUUGGCUGGUGUUUGCAGGGGAAGGAUAAAGCGGUAAUCAGUGCCAAUGAAGCAGCUCUUGUCCCAGAGCACAAAUGUGCCAACAUCAGCAACACCACCAGACCAUGUGUGUCAGUGUGUAUGUGUAUGCGUCUUUGUGUGACAGAAAGGGAGCAGUAUCAAAGAGGUCAGACAGAGGUCAUUGUCUUCGACACAAAUGUUAUAUGACUGCUUUUCUCUUGUGCACAGUGCCGGCUGUGCAAUAUGAUCACUGCUAUCAAAAUGUAAUGGUUAGCUUUCCUAUAUUUUUAUGGUCCCAUCUCACUCUUGACCACGCUGAAUUAAUUGGGAGGAAGAAUUGUUCUUUCCAGAGACAUACAGUAUGUCAUACUCACUAGACCUAAAUGUUAUCCUUGUACAACCUUAGCCCCAUUGCAUGGUACUGAUGCAACUGUUGUGAAAUUUAUUCUAGGAUGACUGUUAGGAAAAUAUGAAACCAAAUGCAUUUGUUAUUUUUGUUUCCUUAUUAUCGGAGAAGCGAAGAUUUUAAUAAACAGUGCAAUACAAA
Molecule: long non-coding RNA, 2351 nt
Organism: Siniperca chuatsi (mandarin fish)
Lineage: Eukaryota; Metazoa; Chordata; Actinopteri; Centrarchiformes; Sinipercidae
Exons: 2
Source: RefSeq, a predicted model, not a curated record